AGUGGAAUAACUGGGUCAAAUGGUGGUUUCAUUCCAAGUUUUUAGAGGAAUCUUCAUACUGCUUUACAGAGUGGUUGCACCAAUUUGCAGUCCCACCAGUGAA
Molecule: microRNA precursor, 103 nt
Filed under: Marmota monax (woodchuck)
Lineage: Eukaryota; Metazoa; Chordata; Mammalia; Rodentia; Sciuridae
Source: RNAcentral